Molecule: ribosomal RNA, 301 nt
Filed under: uncultured bacterium
Lineage: Bacteria
Description: partial 16S ribosomal RNA
Rfam family: Bacterial small subunit ribosomal RNA
Source: RNAcentral
CAGUCGCCGCGGGAAUACGAAGGGUGCAAGCGUUAAUCGGAAUUACUGGGCGUAAAGCGUGCGUAGGCGGUUUGUUAAGUCUGCUGUGAAAUCCCCGGGCUCAACCUGGGGAUGGCAGUGGAUACUGGCAAGCUAGAGUGUGUCAGAGGAUGGUGGAAUUCCCGGUGUAGCGGUGAAAUGCGUAGAGAUCGGGAGGAACAUCAGUGGCGAAGGCGGCCAUCUGGGACAACACUGACGCUGAGGCACGAAAGCGUGGGGAGCAAACAGGAUUAGAUACCCGAGUAGUCCCUGUCUCUUAUAC